AGAGUUUGAUCAUGGCUCAGGAUGAACGCUAGCUACAGGCUUAACACAUGCAAGUCGAGGGGCAGCAUGUUGGUUGCUUGCAACCAACGAUGGCGACCGGCGCACGGGUGAGUAACGCGUAUCCAACCUACCCUUGUCCAUCGGAUAACCCGUCGAAAGGCGGCCUAACACGAUAUGCGGUUCACAGCAGGCAUCUAACGUGAACGAAAUGUGAAGGAGGAGGAUGGGGAUGCGUCUGAUUAGCUUGUUGGCGGGGUAACGGCCACCAAGGCUACGAUCAGUAGGGGUUCUGGAGAGGAAGGUCCCCCANAUUGGAACUGAGACACGGUCCAAACUCCUACGGGAGGCA
Molecule: ribosomal RNA, 349 nt
Filed under: uncultured bacterium
Lineage: Bacteria
Description: bacterial SSU rRNA
Rfam family: Bacterial small subunit ribosomal RNA
Source: RNAcentral